GCCAGGUGUGGUAUCACAUACCUGUAGUCCUGAACCAAGAGGAUCACUUGAGCUUCCAGGAGUUCUAGGCUGGAGUGUGCUGUUCUGAUCUGGUGUCUUCACUAAACUCAACAUCAAUAUGGUGACCUCCAGGGAACUGGGAACCACCAGGUUUCCUAAGGACAGAUGUACUGGGCCAGGUCAGAAAUGGAGCAGGUCAAAACUCCCAUGCUGAUCAGUAACGAACUCAGGCCUGUGAAUAGCUGCUGCACUUCAGCAUAGGCAACAUAGCAAGACCCUGUCUCU
RNAcentral lists this signal recognition particle RNA (285 nucleotides) under Cebus imitator (Panamanian white-faced capuchin). RNAcentral's name for it is "Metazoan signal recognition particle RNA (ENSCCAG00000006458.1)". It matches the Rfam family "Metazoan signal recognition particle RNA". Rfam says of the family: The signal recognition particle (SRP) is a universally conserved ribonucleoprotein. The record is from RNAcentral. Lineage: Eukaryota; Metazoa; Chordata; Mammalia; Primates; Cebidae.